GGUGAAUGUAUUCCGGGUAGGUG
This 23-nucleotide microRNA is filed under the name Eisenia fetida (common brandling worm). Its description in RNAcentral is "Efe-Mir-36-P9_5p* (star (passenger))". Lineage: Eukaryota; Metazoa; Annelida; Clitellata; Crassiclitellata; Lumbricidae. The record is from RNAcentral.